GGCGGCGGCACUGCGGUGAAAGCCGAGGCAGCGGGCAGACGAGCAGGGGGCGGGCGGACAUCUUGGGAUCCGGAGAGUGGCCGGGCCGGCAGAGCAGAGGGCCGCGGACACCAGGUCUGUUCUCAGAGCGAUGGGCUGCGGAGACUGAUCUGCCGCCAUGAUUGGAGGCUUAUUCAUCUAUAAUCACAAGGGGGAGGUGCUCAUCUCCCGAGUCUACCGAGAUGACAUCGGGAGUCGUCAGGCUGCUGACUCAGCUGUCUCCAGUUCCUCUGGGCCAUUCCCUGGGGAGAGGCUGGGAGGAAGCAUGAGGCACUCUCUGGGUCACUGUGGGAGGGCAGGGAAGCCAUGCUACCCUCUCAGUAGACCCAGAGCAGCUCCAUAUCCUGGGCCUUCACACAGAGCCACAGCCUGCCUUCUCAUUCUGCGCCCUCUUGCACGCCCUUGUUCUUUGCGACUGAAGGGACCUAUCCUAGCCUCCGAGGCGCUAAAGAGUAGGCUCCUCUGGUUCCUGCUGCCUGUUUUUCUUCCUCAGACAGCUUGAGAUAAAGUCACAGAAUGGGCC
This 562-nucleotide small RNA is filed under the name Pan troglodytes (chimpanzee). Its description in RNAcentral is "retained intron". Lineage: Eukaryota; Metazoa; Chordata; Mammalia; Primates; Hominidae. The record is from RNAcentral.